UACGUGUUCUGUUAGGUGAGGCUCCUGUAUAGAGAUAAGCUGCUGCCCAAAAAUGUCGAGAGACGCCAAUGGGUCAACAGGAAAGAUCGGAAUAAGGUCUUUCUUAAUGUAGCUGGUACCAGAUUACCUAUGCUAUACAGUGCUAAAGCUCAAGCGAGGGAAACGGAGG
Molecule: small RNA, 169 nt
Filed under: Heyndrickxia shackletonii
Lineage: Bacteria; Bacillati; Bacillota; Bacilli; Caryophanales; Bacillaceae
Description: Bacillus shackletonii Magnesium sequence
Rfam family: M-box riboswitch aptamer (ykoK leader)
About the family: M-box riboswitch, also know as ykoK leader is described as a metaloregulatory RNA that sense divalent metals and function as a genetic control element of genes related to divalent metal transport in bacteria.
Source: Rfam by way of RNAcentral